RNAcentral lists this ribosomal RNA (460 nucleotides) under uncultured bacterium. Its description in RNAcentral is "partial 16S ribosomal RNA". It matches the Rfam family "Bacterial small subunit ribosomal RNA", at positions 338 to 795 of the family's 1533-position model. The record is from RNAcentral.
CCUACGGGGAGCAGCAGUGAGGAAUAUUGGUCAAUGGACGAGAGUCUGAACCAGCCAAGUAGCGUGAAGGAUGACUGCCCUAUGGGUUGUAAACUUCUUUUAUAUGGGAAUAAAAUGUUCCACGUGUGGGAUUUUGUAUGUACCAUAUGAAUAAGGAUCGGCUAACUCCGUGCCAGCAGCCGCGGUAAUACGGAGGAUCCGAGCGUUAUCCGGAUUUAUUGGGUUUAAAGGGAGCGUAGGUGGAUUGUUAAGUCAGUUGUGAAAGUUUGCGGCUCAACCGUAAAAGUGCAGUUGAAACUGGCAGGCUGGAGUACAGGAGAGGUGGGCGGAAUUCGUGGUGUAGCGGUGAAAUGCUUAGAUAUCACGAAGAACUCCGAUUGCGAAGGCAGCUCACUGGACUGCAACUGACACUGAGGCUCGAAAGUGUGGGUAUCAAACAGGAUUAGAUACCCCUGUAGUC